CUCUCUGACUCAUCACGUUCUUCUCUAAUAUCUUUCUUCACGCAUAUGGUGGUGUUCCUAUUCUACUGUCACUUCUCAUCUCCAAAACCCUACCCUCUCUCCACCAAUGGAUUCUCCCACCACCAACAAUCACAACCACAUCCACACUCACCACCUCAACGGCGCCUCCACCAUUUCCCAACCAUCCAAGAAGCCUAAGCUCUUAUCAUCAUCCUUCAUCACUCCCGCCGAGAUUCACGAGGAAUUCUCCCACCACGACCCCUCCGUCGCCCGCAUCAACAACGGCAGCUUUGGCUGCUGUCCCGCCUCCGUCAUCGCCGCCCAGCACCGCUCCCAGCUCCACUACCUCCGCCAGCCCGACAACUUCUACUUCAACGAACUCAAGAAAGGGAUCCUCCAAUCCCGCACCAUUAUCAAGGACCUCGUCAACGCCAAACACGUCGAUGAGAUCUCCAUCGUCGACAACGCCACCACCGCCGCCGCCAUCGUCCUCCAGCACACCGCUUGGUCCUUCCACGAAGGAACCUUCCAGAAGGGCGACGUUGUCCUCAUGCUCCAUUACGCUUACGGCGCCGUCAAAAAGUCCAUGGAGGCCUACGUCACCCGCGCCGGAGGCCACGUCAUCGAGGUACCCCUCCCUUUCCCCGUCGCUUCCAACGAAGAAAUCGUUAGAGAGUUUAGAAAAGCAUUGGAGAGAGGAAAGAGUGAGGGAAAGAGGAUCAGGUUAGCCGUUAUAGAUCACGUUACUUCGAUGCCGUGUGUGGUGAUUCCGGUGAAGGAAUUGGUUCAGAUUUGUAGGGAGGAAGGGGUUGAAAAGGUUUUUAUUGAUGCUGCACAUUCAAUUGGGUGUGUUGAUGUUGAUAUGGAAGAGAUUGGUGCUGAUUUUUAUACCAGCAAUUUGCAUAAGUGGUUCUUUUGCCCUCCUUCCAUUGCGUUUUUGUAUACAAGGAAAACCCCUAAGGGGGGUUCUGAAUUGCACCACCCUGUGGUGUCUCAUGAAUACGGCAAUGGCUUGGCUGUGGAGAGUGCUUGGAUUGGGACCAGGGACUAUAGUGCCCAAUUGGUGGUUCCUGCGGCUUUGGAAUUUGUGAAUCGGUUCCAAGGGGGAAUCGAAGGGAUCAAGAAGAGGAACCAUGAUGCUGUUGUGGAGAUGGGGGAAAUGCUUGCCCAAUCAUGGGGGACGCACCUUGGGAGUCCUCCGGAUAUGUGCGGUAGCAUGAUCAUGGUGGGUUUGCCUACUUCUUUGGGGAUUGCUUGUGAUGAUGAUGCUCUUGGGUUAAGGGUGCAUUUGAGGGAACAGUUUGGGGUUGAAGUCCCUAUAUACUAUCGGCCGCCGAGAGAUGGCGAAGUCAGGUGUGUAACUGGAUAUGCCCGGAUUUCUCAUCAAGUCUACAACAAAGUUGAUGACUAUCACAAGUUCAGGGAUGCAGUUAACCAACUUGUCAAUAAUGGUUUUACCUGUGCUCUCCUUUCAGGCUAAAGAGUUAGUAAAAGCUUCAAAGUAGUUUUAUGACGAAUAAAACCGGAUGGUUCUGCGGCUGCUCACGAGCUGGAUUUGUUGUAAUGGUUUCGGUACCAUGAACUCCAGGUUGUGUAGAGAAACUGCAGAAAAUGUUCAUCUUUGCUUUGCUUUGCUGCAUUGUUCCCUGGGGAUUAACUUCAAUGUUGAGGUCAUGUAUUGAUCAUUGUAAAUAUAAUCCUGAUUCUCAGAUGGUUUGAUGCUUUUGACCUUCACUAUGCCAAUUGAAGUUUUAAGUUUAGCUCAAUGCCAAUUUUUCCACUGUAUAUCUACCAUGCCAUGUUCAUUUCUCCACCAUUGAUGAAGCUGUGGGGAUUUGAUCGUAGGUCAUGUUGAUCCUAAUUUCCUAAUCCUUUCACUACAAUUGCACAACCAUAAGCAAAUAACAGCAAAGCUAAAUUUGACAGAUUUGACCCAUGGCCCAAUGGCGUAACAACCGGAUCAAACAAAACAGACCAAGUGGUGAGGAGUGGAGAAUGAGAGGGAGAGAGAGAAUGACUAGUGACUAGUGACUAGUGAGCGAGCGAGGGAGAGAGAGAUCCUUUGGUAACCGCCAGAGUCCCAGACACCACACCACAGUCCACACUCACUUCAAGCACCUCCUUCUUCCCCCCUUUUCUCUCUGAAUUAGUUA
RNA transcript from Arachis stenosperma, 2153 nucleotides. It is a transcript of the gene named probable L-cysteine desulfhydrase, chloroplastic, with no coding region annotated. The transcript is spliced from 3 exons. The record is from RefSeq and is a predicted model, not a curated record. Lineage: Eukaryota; Viridiplantae; Streptophyta; Magnoliopsida; Fabales; Fabaceae.